AUCCUUUUGUAGAUAAUAAGCAUGACUAUUGGGAUUUCAACCUGGUGUGAGGAUGUGCCUCCCUCAGACCUUAUUAUGAUGUAGGCGGUUAUCCUUAUUACA
RNAcentral lists this small nucleolar RNA (102 nucleotides) under Sciurus vulgaris (Eurasian red squirrel). Its description in RNAcentral is "Small nucleolar RNA U13 (ENSSVLG00005002876.1)". It matches the Rfam family "Small nucleolar RNA U13". The record is from Rfam by way of RNAcentral. Lineage: Eukaryota; Metazoa; Chordata; Mammalia; Rodentia; Sciuridae.